This is a long non-coding RNA of Hermetia illucens (black soldier fly), 301 nucleotides long. RefSeq lists it as uncharacterized. The record is from RefSeq and is a predicted model, not a curated record. NCBI's taxonomy places the organism in Eukaryota, Metazoa, Arthropoda, Insecta, Diptera, Stratiomyidae. The transcript has 2 exons.
UGGGGUGAGGGGAGAGGGUGGCAUAAGAAAAAAAAGUUAUAUAGCGCCGAUGUGCGCUUCCCUCCGGAGGGGGGUACCAGACCCCACACUUUUUUCUGCAACUAGACACUCCAUAUCCACUAACUUUUCAGAAUUAAUUUCGAGGGUUUAAGUUCACUGGACUCUCAAGGGGUUCGCUUAUUUUCAAUUUAUAUGAGAAAAUCAUGUUUAGUUUUUAUUGACUUUUAUAUUAAAAAUUCAGGUCUUCUCAAGGAUUUUAGAAGGGCUUGAGGACGAUUUCCACUAAAAUUGGCCUUGAAAG